RNAcentral lists this transfer RNA (75 nucleotides) under Lodderomyces elongisporus NRRL YB-4239. RNAcentral's name for it is "tRNA-Ile (TAT) (tRNA-Ile-TAT-1-1)". It matches the Rfam family "tRNA". Rfam says of the family: Transfer RNA (tRNA) molecules are approximately 80 nucleotides in length. Their secondary structure includes four short double-helical elements and three loops (D, anti-codon, and T loops). Further hydrogen bonds mediate the characteristic L-shaped molecular structure. tRNAs have two regions of fundamental functional importance: the anti-codon, which is responsible for specific mRNA codon recognition, and the 3' end, to which the tRNAs corresponding amino acid is attached (by aminoacyl-tRNA synthetases). tRNAs cope with the degeneracy of the genetic code in two manners: having more than one tRNA (with a specific anti-codon) for a particular amino acid; and 'wobble' base-pairing, i.e. permitting non-standard base-pairing at the 3rd anti-codon position. Lineage: Eukaryota; Fungi; Ascomycota; Pichiomycetes; Serinales; Debaryomycetaceae. The record is from RNAcentral.
GCUUCCAUAGCAUAGUUUGGUUAAUGCCUCGUGCUUAUAACGCGAAGAUCGUGAGUUCGAUCCUCACUGGAAGCA